UGGGGAAUAUUGGACAAUGGGCGAAAGCCUGAUCCAGCCAUGCCGCGUGUGUGAAGAAGGUCUUCGGAUUGUAAAGCACUUUAAGUUGGGAGGAAGGGCAUUAACCUAAUACGUUAGUGCUUUGACGUUACCGACAGAAUAAGCACCGGCUAACUCUGUGCCAGCAGCCGCGGUAAUACAGAGGGUGCAAGCGUUAAUCGGAAUUACUGGGCGUAAAGCGCGCGUAGGUGGUUUGUUAAGUUGAAUGUGAAAUCCCCGGGCUCAACCUGGGAACUGCAUCCAAAACUGGCAAGCUAGAGUAUGGUAGAGGGUAGUGGAAUUUCCUGUGUAGCGGUGAAAUGCGUAGAUAUAGGAAGGAACACCAGUGGCGAAGGCGACUACCUGGACUGAUACUGACACUGAGGUGCGAAAGCGUGGGGAGCAAACA
RNAcentral lists this ribosomal RNA (427 nucleotides) under uncultured bacterium. RNAcentral's name for it is "partial 16S ribosomal RNA". It matches the Rfam family "Bacterial small subunit ribosomal RNA", at positions 355 to 774 of the family's 1533-position model. The record is from RNAcentral.